AGAGUAAGUUGUGUGGUCGCGUGCCAAAAGCAUGAGGAAAGUCCGUGCUCUACAGAGCGUGAUGCUGGAUAACGUCCAGUGGGGGCGACCCUAAGGAAAGUGCAACAGAAAGAAACCGCCUAGCAUAUCAAGUGUGAGGUAAGGAUGGAAAGGCGAGGUAAGAGCUCACCAGCAUUUAGGUGACUAAAUGGCUAUGUAAACCCCAUCAAGAGCAAGACCAAAAGAGAACAAAAAAAGCAGCUGCUCGUUGCUGUUCAAAUGGUAGGUCGCAGGAAUCUAUUGGUAACAACAGAUCUAGAUAGAUGACCAUAUAAACAGAACACGGCUUAUAGACUUACUCAUUGA
RNAcentral lists this RNase P RNA (345 nucleotides) under Paratissierella segnis. RNAcentral's name for it is "Bacterial RNase P class A". It matches the Rfam family "Bacterial RNase P class A". From Rfam's summary of the family: Ribonuclease P (RNase P) is a ubiquitous endoribonuclease, found in archaea, bacteria and eukarya as well as chloroplasts and mitochondria. Its best characterised activity is the generation of mature 5'-ends of tRNAs by cleaving the 5'-leader elements of precursor-tRNAs. Cellular RNase Ps are ribonucleoproteins. The record is from Rfam by way of RNAcentral. Lineage: Bacteria; Bacillati; Bacillota; Tissierellia; Tissierellales; Tissierellaceae.